This is a long non-coding RNA of Triplophysa rosa, 204 nucleotides long. RefSeq lists it as uncharacterized. The transcript is spliced from 4 exons. NCBI's taxonomy places the organism in Eukaryota, Metazoa, Chordata, Actinopteri, Cypriniformes, Nemacheilidae. The record is from RefSeq and is a predicted model, not a curated record.
AAAGAAGCAGCAGCAGUCAAGCAGUCCGCGAAAGAAGCCAUCACGCGCACAGUGAGAAGCUACAUACACCCUAAAGGCUCUUUUAAGAGCCAUACUCAACGUCUUUGCCCUUCAGCUACACACACCCCAAAUGUUCUUAGCCAUAUUACCCAGCGUCUUUGGCUUUAUUUUGCAUUUUCCGCCACUGCCUCCAGAGUUUUUUCU